Molecule: long non-coding RNA, 698 nt
Filed under: Mus musculus (house mouse)
Lineage: Eukaryota; Metazoa; Chordata; Mammalia; Rodentia; Muridae
Description: long non-coding RNA chrX:7797619-7798317
Source: RNAcentral
UCACAACCAUCUGUAAACCAUUUGUAAUGGGAUCCAAUGCCCUCUUCUGGAGUGUGUUUGAAGACAGUAGACUUAUAUAAAUUAAAUAAAUAAAUCUUUUUUAAAAAUGAAGAAAAUGUCUAAUAGACUCAACUACAUGCCAAGUGGAUAUAAGGUUUUCUCUGACGAGGUUUUCUCUUCCCAGAUAACCCUAGCUUAGGUGCAGUUGACAACAAAUGGACCAGAACACUAAUAUUUUAUGGGUGGGAUGGGAAGAAAUAAUAAUAGUGAUAGUUUACUAAUGCUAUUUCUUCUAUCCCUAUUUGAAUUGUUCUACAUUAUUCAUUUAAUUCUUUCUUUUUAAAGAUUUAUUUAUUUAUUUUAUAUAUAUGAGUAUACUGUAGUUGUACAGAUGGUUGUGAGCCACCAUGUGGUUGUUGGGAAUUGAACUCAGGACCUCUGGAAGAGCAGCUAGUGCUCUUACCUGCUACGCCAUCUCUCCAGCCACAAGCAAUCUAGUUUUAGGCUCUGUUUUGUGAUUCCAUGCUACAAAACAAAAUUUAGCCAGGCAUGGUGAUGGUGCGUGCCUUUAAUCCCGGCAUUUUGAAGACUGAGGUAAGAAGAUUUUAAGUUCAAGCAUAAGCUAGGGCUAUAUGGUGAGAUUCUGUCUUGACCAAAAAAAAAAAAAGCAAACCCUGUACACAGACACAUAAAAUAAA